RNAcentral lists this long non-coding RNA (1367 nucleotides) under Homo sapiens (human). RNAcentral describes it as "non-protein coding lnc-FNDC1-10:3". Lineage: Eukaryota; Metazoa; Chordata; Mammalia; Primates; Hominidae. The record is from RNAcentral.
GCAGUUCCUCACCUACCUUCUCUGCUCACCGCUGUGUGCUAGCAAUCGGAGGACCCUUGGCACACGGAGCGACAGGGGCCUCCCCCACAGACACCUCAUUUUGGGAAAGAAGUGAGCAAUUUAUUGAGUCUUAAAAAAUACAAAGGCAUAGUUCCCCUUAAUCUAUCAGGCUUCCAGCUCUAAAGAAUGUCUCUAGUAUUGCGGGGUGGGGCUGCGCUUAAAAACGCAGACGCUUUGGUUUUAGUACCAGCAACGUUAAAAAUCUUCUAUCUUGUAUGAGUGAAUGUGUAUCCCUUGUGAUCAGUUAUUUGCAUUUGCAGUUACACCUUCAUUCAGCUAAUUGCUGUCUUGAUUUGAAUCCAGGUUCUAGAAUGUACUAGCUCCGAAACCUCAGGCAAGUUAAAUGUUUUUGUGCUUCAUUUUCCUAAUCCACAAAGUGGCAAUAGAAGAAUUUAUCUCUUUAGGUUUUGUCUUGAGGAUUAAAACCGUUAAUACUUAGAGCUGUGCCUGGUAAAUGGCAAGCCUUUAUAUUAAGAUCUGGACCGUUCUGUGCUUUGAAGUGUAUGACCUAAAGCAGAUGUAGGCAUUCUAUAAGUAACACUAGCAUAAAGGUGUAUGGUAAAUUCUAGAGGUGAAAACACUCCCAACAUAUUUUAGGUCUGAUCAUUUAAUUUUGAGGUAAUUUCUGAAAGGGCUAGAGGAGAAAGUGACAUUUAAGUUGUGUUUGAUAAAUGAUAGUAUUUUAACUGGCCAGCCUCUUGGGGGAAGUGCAUUCGGAAUGGCUUGAUCAAAGGCUCAAGAAGCCCAAGGUGCAUUUGGAAAACUGUAAGCAAGGUUUGUGUAGAUGAGUUGUAGAAAUAUAUAUAGACAGGCUGACACCACAUCGUGGAAACAGUAAACACUAGCAUAUUAAUUAGAAUAUUUUUUCCCUCAAGUAACAAAAAACCAAUUCCAAGUGGCUGAAAUAAUAAGGAAUUCAUUAUUUUACACUCCCCAGGUUGGUUAACCUGGAGGGUAACUUGGGGGCUCAGCACAUUAUCAACAACACGUUUUUUCCCCUACCUUUCCACUCUGUCACCUGGGUUGUUGGCUUCAACAAAGUAGUAAUAGAAGUAUCUGCUCUUUUGUCUUUAUUGGAAGAGCAAAACCCCCUCGUAAACUCCCAACUGACCAGAAUUACAUCAUAUUGAUUUAAGCUUAGGAUCUAUAUAAGACCACCAUAUUUGGAUUAGACCAGGUAACCGGUCUUUCUAGGCCUCCAAGAAACACUUGGCCAGGGAGGAGGAGAACAAAUUCUGUUAGGAGGAUGUUGGGGCAGAAUUGAGUGGGUAUUAAGUGGGUAAACAAUAGUGCUAUACCAGCCACAG